UACGUAGGGUCCGAGCGUUGUCCGGAAUUAUUGGGCGUAAAGAGCUCGUAGGCGGUUUGUCGCGUCUGCUGUGAAAUCCCGAGGCUCAACCUCGGGUCUGCAGUGGGUACGGGCAGACUGGAGUGCGGUAGGGGAGAAUGGAAUUCCUGGUGUAGCGGUGGAAUGCGCAGAUAUCAGGAGGAACACCAAUAGCGAAGGCAGCUCGCUGGGACGUUACUGACGCUGAGGCGCGAAAGCGUGGGGAGCGAACAGG
Molecule: ribosomal RNA, 253 nt
Filed under: uncultured bacterium
Lineage: Bacteria
Description: partial 16S ribosomal RNA
Rfam family: Bacterial small subunit ribosomal RNA
Source: RNAcentral